Molecule: long non-coding RNA, 1537 nt
Organism: Astatotilapia calliptera (eastern happy)
Lineage: Eukaryota; Metazoa; Chordata; Actinopteri; Cichliformes; Cichlidae
Source: Ensembl
GUGAUAUUACAGCAGGCAUACAAUAAAUUCAACACUUGUACAAAAUCUAAAUGCAAUUUUCUACACGAAGAGUGGACAUAAUGGAAUUUUGCUCAGUAUUCAUAUCCUGAACUGUAACAAUCUUCUUUAAUCCUUUGCACAUGAUGUCAGUGGGAAUGAGAAGGCUCUCAUGGAAUGGUUGGGAAUGGACUUUUUUCCCCAGGAGAGACAUUUAAAUGUAGAGAAGAGAGCUGUGGAGUUCUGACACUUUGUCAUGUUAAUUCUCCCCUCAAAAAAAGCUACAUUUUGAGGAGCACUCCUUUGUUUUCAGGGUUUGAUGUUAGAUUAUUCGAUCUUUACAAAAAGCUGUUACCUACAUUUGCAUUCUAUAAUUGCCUCUUUAUCUUAAAGGGUUUAUCAGACAAAGGAAGGAAUUCGAAUAGCUUAAAAUCACGAAUACAGACAUAAUCCACCUGGCUUCCUUGAUUUUUGUUUUUUUCUUUGGGGGGGGAAGGGUGCUAUUCUUCUUCUUAUUCUUAUUCUUCUUCUUAUUAUUAUUAUUAUUAUUAGAGCAACAUGUUGUGUUUAAUCCCUGACUAUGUCAGAGUUAGCUCUGGGAUUUUCAUAGACGAUUCAUUUGUUACUGGUGUGGAUCACCAUGGUGUCUAGGGCUGGAUCUGUGAGUUUAUUUUGUAUUUUUCAGGCUUUCAUGUAAGUUUUUUUUUUCUUACAUUAGAUUGCAUUAAUGUUAAGUUCUUGUGUUAUUUAGUUAGAGUUUAGUUGAGUCAUUUAUUCUAGUUCAUGUUUCAUCCAUGUCUCUGUGUUUGAGUCUUUUCCUGUGUUCUGUGUAAGUCUGUCUUGUCCUCUAUGUUUAAUCUUUGGCGAUGCUUUCAUCUCCCUUAUCUGUUCCCUUGUGUUCCCUUGUGUUCUGUGUCUCCCCAGUCUGUCGUGUGUGCAUUUCCAUCUUCUGACGUCAAGCUUGUGUUGUCAUGUCUAUGUUCCAUCAUGUUUCCUGUUUUAUUUUGAAAGUCUUAUAUUUCCAUGUUGAAUGUGUUUAGUUUUGGAUUUGGGUCCAGACCAUAAACACACCGGCUGCUCAGCCGUGACACAUGGUAGCUGAUGGUGUUAACCUAACCUGCUCUGCAGCACAUAUGUUCCAGCUUAGAGAUCAGCAGGUCACAAUCAAUCACAUGACCAUUUCUGGAAGAUCCCCCUAUUCUUUUUUUUAUUUAUUUUUUUAGAUUACAGGUAAAAUGUAUGAUCCUGAAUCUGUAAGUCGCUUUGUUAGUUGUUUAGUUCACAAGGACACGGAUACACUCUCACAGCAGACAGAAUAAUAAAAGACCAGCUUUUUAUCUGGGUUGAAUAAAAUAAAACCAAAUAAAUGCUAAUAUGAUUUUAGCUAUGCAGAUGCCAAAUGAAAGCAACAACAAUGAACAGCACUUGUUGGUGAAGUGGAAACAGAAGCGGAAGGAAACACCGCUGAAGACAAUCAAGACAAUCAACUGAAACAGCUAAGAGACAGCUAGCUUUGUAAAACUGAAGUGACAAAGUCCAG